UGGGGAAUAUUGGACAAUGGGGGCAACCCUGAUCCAGCGAUGCCGCGUGUGUGAAGAAGGCCUGAGGGUUGUAAAGCACUUUCAGCGGGGAGGAGGGCUGACGGGUUAAGAGCUAGUUAGUUGGACGUUACCCGCAGAAGAAGCACCGGCUAACUCCGUGCCAGCAGCCGCGGUAAUACGGAGGGUGCGAGCGUUAAUCGGAAUUACUGGGCGUAAAGGGUGCGUAGGUGGUUGAUUAAGUUAUGUGUAAAAUUCCUGGGCUCAACCUAGGGUUGCAGAUAAGACUGGUUAGCUAGAGUAUGGGAGAGGGUAGUGGAAUUUCCGGUGUAGCGGUGAAAUGCGUAGAGAUCGGAAGGAACACCGGUGGCGAAGGCGGCUACCUGGCCUAAUACUGACACUGAGGCACGAAAGCAUGGGGAGCAAACAGG
RNAcentral lists this ribosomal RNA (428 nucleotides) under uncultured bacterium. RNAcentral describes it as "bacterial SSU rRNA". It matches the Rfam family "Bacterial small subunit ribosomal RNA", at positions 355 to 776 of the family's 1533-position model. The record is from RNAcentral.